GGGGACGUAGCUCAGCCUGGGAGAGCGCUGCGCUGAAGCUCCUGAAUCACGGAUUCAAAUUCCGUCGUCCCCA
This 73-nucleotide transfer RNA is filed under the name Candidatus Woesearchaeota archaeon CG1_02_47_18. RNAcentral's name for it is "tRNA-Phe". It matches the Rfam family "tRNA". From Rfam's summary of the family: Transfer RNA (tRNA) molecules are approximately 80 nucleotides in length. Their secondary structure includes four short double-helical elements and three loops (D, anti-codon, and T loops). Further hydrogen bonds mediate the characteristic L-shaped molecular structure. tRNAs have two regions of fundamental functional importance: the anti-codon, which is responsible for specific mRNA codon recognition, and the 3' end, to which the tRNAs corresponding amino acid is attached (by aminoacyl-tRNA synthetases). tRNAs cope with the degeneracy of the genetic code in two manners: having more than one tRNA (with a specific anti-codon) for a particular amino acid; and 'wobble' base-pairing, i.e. permitting non-standard base-pairing at the 3rd anti-codon position. RNAcentral also lists the same sequence under 2 other names. Lineage: Archaea; Nanobdellati; Candidatus Woesearchaeota. The record is from RNAcentral.